CGGUGCCCGAGUUGUAAUUUGGAGAGGGCAACUUUGGGGCCGUUCCUUGUCUAUGUUCCUUGGAACAGGACGUCAUAGAGGGUGAGAAUCCCGUGUGGCGAGGAGUGCGGUUCUUUGUAAAGUGCCUUCGAAGAGUCGAGUUGUUUGGGAAUGCAGCUCUAAGUGGGUGGUAAAUUCCAUCUAAAGCUAAAUAUUGGCGAGAGACCGAUAGCGAACAAGUACAGUGAUGGAAAGAUGAAAAGAACUUUGAAAAGAGAGUGAAAAAGUACGUGAAAUUGUUGAAAGGGAAGGGCAUUUGAUCAGACAUGGUGUUUUGUGCCCUCUGCUCCUUGUGGGUAGGGGAAUCUCGCAUUUCACUGGGCCAGCAUCAGUUUUGGUGGCAGGAUAAAUCCAUAGGAAUGUAGCUUGCCUCGGUAAGUAUUAUAGCCUGUGGGAAUACUGCCAGCUGGGACUGAGGACUGCGACGUAAGUCAAGGAUGCUGGCAUAAUGGUUAUAUGCCGCCCGUCUUG
RNAcentral lists this ribosomal RNA (510 nucleotides) under Saccharomyces cerevisiae (brewer's yeast). Its description in RNAcentral is "eukaryotic LSU rRNA". It matches the Rfam family "Eukaryotic large subunit ribosomal RNA", at positions 132 to 656 of the family's 3401-position model. Lineage: Eukaryota; Fungi; Ascomycota; Saccharomycetes; Saccharomycetales; Saccharomycetaceae. The record is from RNAcentral.